GAUGAACGCUGGCGGCGUGCCUAAUACAUGCAAGUCGAGCGAACAGACGAGGAGCUUGCUCCUCUGACGUUAGCGGCGGACGGGUGAGUAACACGUGGAUAACCUACCUAUAAGACUGGGAUAACUUCGGGAAACCGGAGCUAAUACCGUAUAAUAUAUUGAACCGCAUGGUUCAAUAGUGAAAGACGGUUUUGCUGUCACUUAUAGAUGGAUCCGCGCGGUAUUAGCUAGUUGGUAAGGUAACAGCUUACCAAGGCAACGAUGCGUAGACGACCGGAGAGGGUGAUCGGCCACCCGGGAACUGAGACACGCACCAGACGCCUACGGGAGGCAGCAGUAGGGAAUCUUCCGCAAUGGGCGAAAGCAUGACGGAGCAACGCCGCGUGAGUGAUAAAGGUCUCCGGAGCGUAAAGAUCUCUUAUUAGGGAAGAACAAAUGUGUAAGUAAAUAUGCACGUCUUGACGGUACCUAAUAAAAAAGCACCGGCUAACUACGUG
RNAcentral lists this ribosomal RNA (497 nucleotides) under uncultured bacterium. Its description in RNAcentral is "partial 16S ribosomal RNA". It matches the Rfam family "Bacterial small subunit ribosomal RNA", at positions 28 to 507 of the family's 1533-position model. The record is from RNAcentral.